ACGGGAGGCAGCAGUGAGGAAUAUUGGUCAAUGGGCGGAAGCCUGAACCAGCCAAGUCGCGUGAAGGAUGAAGGUAUUUUGUAUUGUAAACUUCUUUAGUCGCAGGGAAAUAAGGCGGACGCGUCCGCUGAUGCUAGUAUGCGAAGAAUAAGGAUCGGCUAACUCCGUGCCAGCAGCCGCGGUAAUACGGAGGAUCCGAGCGUUAUCCGGAUUUAUUGGGUUUAAAGGGUGCGCAGGCGGUCUUUUAAGUAAGUGGUCAAAGCGUGGGGCUCAACCCCAUCCCGCCAUUGAUACUGGAGGACUUGAUUGCGGUCGAGGUUGGCGGAAUUCGUCGUGUAGCGGUGAAAUGCAUAGAUAUGACGAAGAACACCGAUUGCGUAGGCAGCUGACCAGGCCGUAAAUGACGCUCAUGCACGAAAGUGCGGGGAUCGAACAGGAUUAGAUACCCUGGUA
This 453-nucleotide ribosomal RNA is filed under the name uncultured Porphyromonadaceae bacterium. RNAcentral describes it as "partial 16S ribosomal RNA". It matches the Rfam family "Bacterial small subunit ribosomal RNA", at positions 341 to 792 of the family's 1533-position model. Lineage: Bacteria; Pseudomonadati; Bacteroidota; Bacteroidia; Bacteroidales; Porphyromonadaceae. The record is from RNAcentral.